UGAGUAACACGUAUCCAACCUACCUCAUACUCGGGGAUAGCCUUUCGAAAGAAAGAUUAAUAUCCGAUAGCAUAUAUUUCCCGCAUGGGUUUUAUAUUAAAGAAAUUCGGUAUGAGAUGGGGAUGCGUUCCAUUAGUUUGUUGGGGGGGUAACGGCCCACCAAGACUACGAUGGAUAGGGGUUCUGAGAGGAAGGUCCCCCACAUUGGAACUGAGACACGGUCCAAACUCCUACGGGAGGCAGCAGUGAGGAAUAUUGGUCAAUGGACGCGAGUCUGAACCAGCCAAGUAGCGUGAAGGAUGACUGCCCUAUGGGUUGUAAACUUCUUUUAUAUGGGAAUAAAGUUGUCCACGUGUGGAUUUUUGUAUGUACCAUAUGAAUAAGGAUCGGCUAACUCCGUGCCAGCAGCCGCGGUAAUAC
This 420-nucleotide ribosomal RNA is filed under the name uncultured bacterium. RNAcentral's name for it is "bacterial SSU rRNA". It matches the Rfam family "Bacterial small subunit ribosomal RNA", at positions 107 to 526 of the family's 1533-position model. The record is from RNAcentral.